This 85-nucleotide transfer RNA is filed under the name Felis catus (domestic cat). It matches the Rfam family "tRNA". From Rfam's summary of the family: Transfer RNA (tRNA) molecules are approximately 80 nucleotides in length. Their secondary structure includes four short double-helical elements and three loops (D, anti-codon, and T loops). Lineage: Eukaryota; Metazoa; Chordata; Mammalia; Carnivora; Felidae. The record is from Rfam by way of RNAcentral.
GCCUGGGUGGCUUAGUGGAUUGAGCGUCUGACUUCAGCUCAGGUCAUGAUCUCGUGGUUCGUGGGUUCGAGCCCCGCAUCGGGCU